AUGACGGUAAAUAAAAAAGCGAGAGGGGCAGAGAAACCCAGACUCGGGUGGCACGGAUCCUUUCUUUGGGAAAGGUCUGACUCCGGGGGGAGAGGGGGGCGGGAUCUGGUUACUUCCAACCCAAAGAAGGGACCGGCAAAGGGGGAGGCCGGGAGCACUUCUUCCCCUCCAGCCCAAACGCCCGACGGCCGCCCAGCGCCCGGCCUCCAGGAGCCGGGAAGGUGCGCGAGUCCCGCGCAGCGCUGGCGCCCGCGCAGCGCCCCCGGGGCGGCAGGGGAGGCGGGGCGGGGGGCGGGCGACCCGCUCGCGCCUUACCUUCCCCUCCCCCGCUCGGCGUCGGUUGACUCAGGUGCCUACGCAGCGAUGCGAAGGGACAGAGCAGGGCUCCGGGCGUCCCCGGGUCCGGAUCUCCUCUCCAUGGCCAGGAAGCCCAACGAGCCCCGGCGCGCGCUGCUGCUGCUCUUUUCGGCAACUGGCAGCCGCAGCCUCCGCCUGGAGGUGAAACUCUUCUCCCGGGAUGACGCGCACUUCCCUCCGCCUCCGCCUCCGCCUCCGCCUCCUCCAGCCCCGAGCCUCCCGAGCCGGGGCCUCGGCUCGCUCUCUCCGGGAGCAGCCGCUCGGCUUUCUCCGCUCCCUCCCCUUCGGGGUGGCGCGGACCCGAGCGUCCUCGCUAAAACCGGGGAGGCGGCGGCGCGCGGCAGAGCGGAGUCGCGGGAGUCGCGCUGGUCCCCGGUCGGCGGGCGCCGCGGCUCGCGAAGGUCGCGCUCAGCCUCCGCCGGCCAGACAAGCGGCCCGGCUCUGCGGGGCCCAGGGCUGCGGAUUGGGCUGGAGCGCGGGCCACGGCAAGGGAGGCGGGGAGAGAGGAGGAGCCUGCCGCGGCGAGGAGGCGGUGGCCGCGCGGGGAUCCUCCCGCCGUCCCCCGCUGCGGGCGAGCGGCCGACCGGGGCGCUCAGCGCCACUCGCUGCCGCGCGCAGGGACAGCGCCGGGGCGCACGGCCGGCACGCAGGGGCCCCAAGCAGCGCCCCGGGCUGCGGCUGCAGGCUCCGACCGGGUCAGGGCGCGCGUCCUCGGUCUGA
RNAcentral lists this long non-coding RNA (1077 nucleotides) under Oryctolagus cuniculus (rabbit). Its description in RNAcentral is "lncRNA (ENSOCUG00000030444.1)". The record is from RNAcentral. Lineage: Eukaryota; Metazoa; Chordata; Mammalia; Lagomorpha; Leporidae.